UGGGGAAUAUUGCGCAAUGGGGGGAACCCUGACGCAGCCAUGCCGCGUGAAUGAAGAAGGCCUUAGGGUUGUAAGUUCUUUCCGUAUUUGAGGAAGGUUGAUGUGUUAAUAGCACAUCAAAUUGACGUUAAAUACAGAAGAAGCACCGGCUAACUCCGUGCCAGCAGCCGCGGUAAUACGGAGGGUGCGAGCGUUAAUCGGAAUAACUGGGCGUAAAGGGCACGCAGGCGGUUAUUUAAGUGAGGUGUGAAAGCCCCGGGCUUAACCUGGGAAUUGCAUUUCAGACUGGGUAACUAGAGUACUUUAGGGAGGGGUAGAAUUCCACGUGUAGCGGUGAAAUGCGUAGAGAUGUGGAGGAAUACCGAAGGCGAAGGCAGCCCCUUGGGAAUGUACUGACGCUCAUGUGCGAAAGCGUGGGGAGCAAACAGGAUUAGAUACCCUGGUAGUCCAUGCUGUUAAACCCGUAUUUGGGGUUGGGGUUUAACUCUGGCGCCCGUAGCUAACGUGAUAAAUCGACCGCCUGGGGAGUACGGCCGCAAGG
RNAcentral lists this ribosomal RNA (541 nucleotides) under uncultured bacterium. Its description in RNAcentral is "bacterial SSU rRNA". It matches the Rfam family "Bacterial small subunit ribosomal RNA", at positions 355 to 893 of the family's 1533-position model. The record is from RNAcentral.